Molecule: transfer RNA, 73 nt
Filed under: Candidatus Cloacimonadota bacterium
Lineage: Bacteria; Pseudomonadati; Candidatus Cloacimonadota
Also listed under: 1 other name
Description: tRNA-Val
Rfam family: tRNA
About the family: Transfer RNA (tRNA) molecules are approximately 80 nucleotides in length. Their secondary structure includes four short double-helical elements and three loops (D, anti-codon, and T loops). Further hydrogen bonds mediate the characteristic L-shaped molecular structure. tRNAs have two regions of fundamental functional importance: the anti-codon, which is responsible for specific mRNA codon recognition, and the 3' end, to which the tRNAs corresponding amino acid is attached (by aminoacyl-tRNA synthetases). tRNAs cope with the degeneracy of the genetic code in two manners: having more than one tRNA (with a specific anti-codon) for a particular amino acid; and 'wobble' base-pairing, i.e. permitting non-standard base-pairing at the 3rd anti-codon position.
Source: RNAcentral
GGGCGCUUAGCUCAGUUGGGAGAGCGCCUGCCUUACAAGCAGGUGGUCGGGGGUUCAAGUCCCUCAGCGCCCA